UACAAAAUUUGCAUAGAAUGGCCGUAAAUUUAAUCCAAGCAACAGACAAGCCAAAUUUGAAAAAUCGAAAUUAAAUACUUUUCCACUGCGAUGGAAGCAGUUUUUUCAUUCUCAUUUGCGAAUUUUCACAUUUCGCUGACAGCUCAUAACUUCUGGCCAUGAAUGCGCUUCGAAGGGGUGGGACUGGUGGGAUGGUGGAGCGCAUUAUGCAUAAAUUCCCGUUAAUUAAAAGCGCCACAAAGUGCACGAGAUGGUCAUGGAGAGGGAGUGGGAGUGGGAGCGCGAACGAAAUGGAUAUAGAAUAAGAGAAUAGAGGGCUUGAAGGAUAUGGUCCCUAAUGCAGGCCCAAUAUAAAAUAUGCGUGUCGGUAAUUUGAGGAAUGCAACAGAGGACCAAAGGCCCCGUAAAUUUUCAAGAGCUUGCCCAGCCGGGCAGCUGAGAAUGGAACUCACACGCCACCCUUCACCCGAUAUGUCCUGCCCCCCAGUGCAGUCCCCGCUUCCUACAUUGAACUCGACCAACCCAAACGGAAGCGGAAGUUGCAGCAAAUGGCGUAUGAGAUUGAGUGUGUGUGGAAGUGCCAAGGAGAGCAUGUUGGGGGGAGACCAGCAUGACCCGACUGUCCUCGUAACAAGAGUCCUGACCAUGCACACACAAACAGGAUAACGACGAUAACUACAACCAGGAACCUUUCAUGUUGAAGGGGGCCUUUGGAGGGCAAAAUAUUUACACAUACUAAAUCAGGAGAAAGCCCUCGAGUGCAGGCCGACUUGGGAGUGUGUGUGUUUGGGUUUUCAAUGACCUUGUAAGGAUGUUUGCUCUUUUUGUUGAGCUGAGCUUUGGCUGCAAUCUGCGAGUGGUUCGCCAACAAUUAUGCAAUUAAGGCUACCUUAGUGGCACUUGACAAAUGCUCCCCGAGCUACUCAAAUAUUUUUCACCAUCCGCCAUUCAUGGAGCAUAAUAAACUAUUCAUUAGCAUUGAAAACGCUGUCAGAAGCAGCGACAUUUAGGCCAUAACUCAUCAGCGCUUUAUUGGCGCAAAGAAAAUCCGUUGAGUGAUAAAUAACAUUUCUGUUUUCGAAAUUAUCAUAAAUCGCAGAGGCAUAAAAAGGGGGAUGAUUGAGUGAAAAUUUAAAGGUGAAUUUAUUGAAAUGGAAAAUUUGCUCCCUCCAUCGACCCCAGACAGACUUCAAGAGUCAUAUUCAACCUUGUUAUAUGGCAGACAACUUACAUAAAUAAAUUGCUGUCACCA
Long non-coding RNA from Drosophila ananassae, 1252 nucleotides. RefSeq lists it as uncharacterized. The record is from RefSeq and is a predicted model, not a curated record. The transcript is spliced from 2 exons. Lineage: Eukaryota; Metazoa; Arthropoda; Insecta; Diptera; Drosophilidae.